GAUGAACGCUGGCGGCGUGCCUAACACAUGCAAGUCGAGCGAAGCACUUUGCUUAGAUUCUUCGGAUGAAGAGGAUUGUGACUGAGCGGCGGACGGGUGAGUAACGCGUGGGUAACCUGCCUCAUACAGGGGGAUAACAGUUAGAAAUGACUGCUAAUACCGCAUAAGACCACAGCACCGCAUGGUGCGGGGGUAAAAACUCCGGUGGUAUGAGAUGGACCCGCGUCUGAUUAGCUAGUUGGUAAGGUAACGGCUUACCAAGGCGACGAUCAGUAGCCGACCUGAGAGGGUGACCGGCCACAUUGGGACUGAGACACGGCCCAAACUCCUACGGGAGGCAGCAGUGGGGAAUAUUGCACAAUGGGGGAAACCCUGAUGCAGCGACGCCGCGUGAGCGAAGAAGUAUUUCGGUAUGUAAAGCUCUAUCAGCAGGGAAGAAAAUGACGGUACCUGACUAAGAAGCACCGGCUAAAUACGUGCCAGCAGCCGCGGUAAUACGUAUGGUGCAAGCGUUAUCCGGAUUUACUGGGUGUAAAGGGAGCGUAGACGGAUGGGCAAGUCUGAUGUGAAAACCCGGGGCUCAACCCCGGGACUGCAUUGGAAACUGUUCAUCUAGAGUGCUGGAGAGGUAAGUGGAAUUCCUAGUGUAGCGGUGAAAUGCGUAGAUAUUAGGAGGAACACCAGUGGCGAAGGCGGCUUACUGGACAGUAACUGACGUUGAGGCUCGAAAGCGUGGGGAGCAAACAGGAUUAGAUACCCUGGUAGUCCACGCCGUAAACGAUGACUACUAGGUGUCGGGUGGCAAAGCCAUUCGGUGCCGCAGCAAACGCAAUAAGUAGUCCACCUGGGGAGUACGUUCGCAAGAAUGGAACUCAAAGGAAUUGACGGGGACCCGCAUAAGCGGUGGAGCAUGUGGUUUAAUUCGAAGCAACGCGAAGAACCUUACCUGCUCUUGACAUCCCGCUGACCGGACGGUAAUGCGUCCUUCCCUUCGGGGCAGCGGAGACAGGUGGUGCAUGGUUGUCGUCAGCUCGUGUCGUGAGAUGUUGGGUUAAGUCCCGCAACGAGCGCAACCCCUAUCUUUAGUAGCCAGCGGCCAGGCCGGGCACUCUAGAGAGACUGCCGGGGAUAACCCGGAGGAAGGUGGGGAUGACGUCAAAUCAUCAUGCCCCUUAUGAGCAGGGCUACACACGUGCUACAAUGGCGUAAACAAAGGGAAGCGAGACCGCGAGGUGGAGCAAAUCCCAAAAAUAACGUCUCAGUUCGGAUUGUAGUCUGCAACUCGACUACAUGAAGCUGGAAUCGCUAGUAAUCGCGAAUCAGAAUGUCGCGGUGAAUACGUUCCCGGGUCU
RNAcentral lists this ribosomal RNA (1352 nucleotides) under uncultured bacterium. Its description in RNAcentral is "bacterial SSU rRNA". It matches the Rfam family "Bacterial small subunit ribosomal RNA", at positions 28 to 1381 of the family's 1533-position model. The record is from RNAcentral.